CACGUAGGGCGCAAGCGUUGUCCGGAAUUAUUGGGCGUAAAGAGCUCGUAGGCGGUCUGUUGCGUCCGCUGUGAAAACUCGGGGCUUAACCCCGAGCCUGCAGUGGAUACGGGCAGACUAGAGGUAGGUAGGGGAGAAUGGAAUUCCCGGUGUAGCGGUGAAAUGCGCAGAUAUCGGGAGGAACACCGGUGGCGAAGGCGGCGACCUGGGUCGAGACUGACGCUGAGGCGCGAAAGCGUGGGGAGCAAACAGG
This 253-nucleotide ribosomal RNA is filed under the name uncultured bacterium. RNAcentral's name for it is "partial 16S ribosomal RNA". It matches the Rfam family "Bacterial small subunit ribosomal RNA", at positions 524 to 776 of the family's 1533-position model. The record is from RNAcentral.